Molecule: ribosomal RNA, 524 nt
Filed under: uncultured bacterium
Lineage: Bacteria
Description: partial 16S ribosomal RNA
Rfam family: Bacterial small subunit ribosomal RNA
Source: RNAcentral
GACGAACGCUGGCGGCGUGCCUAAUACAUGCAAGUCGAACGCUUCUUUCCUCCCGAGUGCUUGCACUCGAUUGGAAAGAGGAGUGGCGGACGGGUGAGUAACACGUGGGUAACCUACCCAUCAGAGGGGGAUAACACUUGGAAACAGGUGCUAAUACCGCAUAACAGUUUAUGCCGCAUGGCAUAAGAGUGAAAGGCGCUUUCGGGUGUCGCUGAUGGAUGGACCCGCGGUGCAUUAGCUAGUUGGUGAGGUAACGGCUCACCAAGGCCACGAUGCAUAGCCGACCUGAGAGGGUGAUCGGCCACACUGGGACUGAGACACGGCCCAGACUCCUACGGGAGGCAGUAGUAGGGAAUCUUCGGCAAUGGACGAAAGUCUGACCGAGCAACGCCGCGUGAGCGAUGAAGGUUUUCGGAUCGUAAAACUCUGUUGUUAGAGAAGAACAAGGACGUUAGUAACUGAACGCCCCCUGACGGUAUCUAACCAGAAAGCCACGGCUAACUACGUGCCAGCCGCCGCCGUAA